This 545-nucleotide ribosomal RNA is filed under the name uncultured bacterium. Its description in RNAcentral is "bacterial SSU rRNA". It matches the Rfam family "Bacterial small subunit ribosomal RNA", at positions 355 to 896 of the family's 1533-position model. The record is from RNAcentral.
UGGGGAAUAUUGCGCAAUGGGGGGAACCCUGACGCAGCCAUGCCGCGUGAAUGAAGAAGGCCUUCGGGUUGUAAAGUUCUUUCGGUAUUGAGGAAGGUUGAUGUGUUAAUAGCACAUCAAAUUGACGUUAAAUACAGAAGAAGCACCGGCUAACUCCGUGCCAGCAGCCGCGGUAAUACGGAGGGUGCGAGCGUUAAUCGGAAUAACUGGGCGUAAAGGGCACGCAGGCGGUUAUUUAAGUGAGGUGUGAAAGCCCCGCUUAACCUGGGAAUUGCAUUUCAGACUGGGUAACUAGAGUACUUUAGGGAGGGGUAGAAUUCCACGUGUAGCGGUGAAAUGCGUAGAGAUGUGGAGGAAUACCGAAGGCGAAGGCAGCCCCUUGGGAAUGUACUGACGCUCAUGUGCGAAAGCGUGGGGAGCAAACAGGAUUAGAUACCCUGGUAGUCCACGCUGUAAACGCUGUCGAUUUGGGGGUUGGGGUUUAACUCUGGCGCCCGUAGCUAACGUGAUAAAUCGACCGCCUGGGGAGUACGGCCGCAAGGUUA